This 325-nucleotide long non-coding RNA is filed under the name Elaeis guineensis (African oil palm). RNAcentral describes it as "long non-coding RNA (EGUI_LNC019984)". Lineage: Eukaryota; Viridiplantae; Streptophyta; Magnoliopsida; Arecales; Arecaceae. The record is from RNAcentral.
UCAAGCAAAGGCUCCUUUUAGUGUAGGGUCGAUAAAAAGUCAGGCCGAUCAAAGUUAAUCCCUAAAAGUCAGGCCGGUCAAAGGCCAUUCGAUUGAAACCAUUCUAUCUUCUUUCUACAUUGGCUGAUCGAGGGCUAAGCCAACAAAAUAGGAUUAUAGGUAGCUAACCACUCAGGGUAUGGCUUUUGGAUACGCAGUUUGAUAUGACCUGAUGAGGUUGCGUGGUGGCCACCCUUGAUGUUUUACCAUUCGGCCGACACCUGUGCCAUAGGAUACUAGCUCACAAGUGGGACCCAUGUUUGGUGGAAGGGUAAGGGUUCGGAGG